AUGAACGCUGGCGGCGUGCCUAAUACAUGCAAGUCGAGCGAACGGACGAGAAGCUUGCUUCUCUGAUGUUAGCGGCGGACGGGUAAGUAACACGUGGCUAACCUACCUAUAAGACUGGGAUAACUUCGGGAAACCGGAGCUAAUACCGGAUAAUAUUUUGAACCGCAUGGUUCCAAAGUGAAAGACGGUCUUGCUGUCACUUAUAGAUGGAUCCGCGCUGCAUUAGCUAGUUGGUAAGGUAACGGCUUACCAAGGCAACGAUGCAUAGCCGACCUGAGAGGGUGAUCGGCCACACUGGAACUGAGACACGGUCCAGACUCCUACGGGAGGCAGCAGUAGGGAAUCUUCCGCAAUGGGCGAAAGCCUGACGGAGCAACGCCGCGUGAGUGAUGAAGGUCUUCGGAUCGUAAAACUCUGUUAUUAGGGAAGAACAUAUGUGUAAGUAACUGUGCACAUCUUGACGGUACCUAAUCAGAAAGCCACGGCUAACUACGUG
RNAcentral lists this ribosomal RNA (496 nucleotides) under uncultured bacterium. RNAcentral describes it as "partial 16S ribosomal RNA". It matches the Rfam family "Bacterial small subunit ribosomal RNA", at positions 29 to 507 of the family's 1533-position model. The record is from RNAcentral.